UUCCAGACUCCUACGGGAGGCAGCAGUCGGGAAUAUUGCGCAAUGGAGGAAACUCUGACGCAGUGACGCCGCGUGCAGGAAGAAGGUUUUCGGAUUGUAAACUGCUUUAGACAGGGAAGAUAAUGACAGUACCUGUAGAAUAAGCUCCGGCUAACUACGUGCCAGCAGCCGCGGUAAUACGUAGGGAGCAAGCGUUAUCCGGAAUUACUGGGUGUAAAGGGUGAGUAGGCGGCAUGGUAAGCCAGAUGUGAAAGCCUUGGGCUUAACCCGAGGAUUGCAUUUGGAACUAUCAAGCUAGAGUACAGGAGAGGAAAGCGGAAUUCCUAGUGUAGCGGUGAAAUGCGUAGAUAUUAGGAAGAACACCAGUGGCGAAGGCGGCUUUCUGGACUGAAACUGACGCUGAGGCACGAAAGCGUGGGGAGCGAACAGGAUUAGAUACCCCCGUA
RNAcentral lists this ribosomal RNA (446 nucleotides) under uncultured bacterium. RNAcentral describes it as "bacterial SSU rRNA". It matches the Rfam family "Bacterial small subunit ribosomal RNA", at positions 329 to 792 of the family's 1533-position model. The record is from RNAcentral.